AAGAUGUUAGUAAUAAAAAUUAUACUGCCUUGUCAAGGCAGAGUUGCAGGUUAAAGCCCUGUACAUCUUG
RNAcentral lists this transfer RNA (70 nucleotides) under Protanguilla palau. Its description in RNAcentral is "tRNA-Asp". It matches the Rfam family "tRNA". From Rfam's summary of the family: Transfer RNA (tRNA) molecules are approximately 80 nucleotides in length. Their secondary structure includes four short double-helical elements and three loops (D, anti-codon, and T loops). Further hydrogen bonds mediate the characteristic L-shaped molecular structure. tRNAs have two regions of fundamental functional importance: the anti-codon, which is responsible for specific mRNA codon recognition, and the 3' end, to which the tRNAs corresponding amino acid is attached (by aminoacyl-tRNA synthetases). tRNAs cope with the degeneracy of the genetic code in two manners: having more than one tRNA (with a specific anti-codon) for a particular amino acid; and 'wobble' base-pairing, i.e. permitting non-standard base-pairing at the 3rd anti-codon position. The record is from RNAcentral. Lineage: Eukaryota; Metazoa; Chordata; Actinopteri; Anguilliformes; Protanguillidae.